GAUGAACGCAGCGGCAGGCUUAACACAUGCAAGUCAGGGGUAGCAGGAAUUGCUUGCAAUUCGCUGACGACCGGCGCACGGGUGCGUAACGCGUAUGCAACUACCUUCAACAGGGGGAUAGCCAGGGGAAACCCUGAUUAAUACCCCAUAAUAAUUCAAUUUCGCAUGUUAUUGAAUUUAAAACUCCGGUGGUUGAAGAUGGGCAUGCGUCCUAUUAGUUUGUUGGUGAGGUAACGGCUCACCAAGACUACGAUAGGUAGGGGGCCUGAGAGGGUGAUCCCCCACACUGGUACUGAGACACGGACCAGACUCCUACGGGAGGCAGCAGUGAGGAAUAUUGGUCAAUGGACGAAAGUCUGAACCAGCCAUGCCGCGUGCAGGAUUGAAGGCCCUAUGGGUUGUAAACUGCUUUUAUAAGAGAAGAAACCUAGGUUCGUGAACCUAGCUGACGGUAUCUUAUGAAUAAGCACCGGCUAACUCCGUG
Molecule: ribosomal RNA, 484 nt
Filed under: uncultured bacterium
Lineage: Bacteria
Description: bacterial SSU rRNA
Rfam family: Bacterial small subunit ribosomal RNA
Source: RNAcentral